AUGGGAGAGAACCCUUCCCACCUAAUGCGUGUGUCUCCUUGUUGCUCCCUUUCCCAAAGCUGCAGUACCCGGCAAAGUCCUCAGGUGACUUGUGAGGCUCGUAUCCCUGCAACAGAGACUACUCCAGCUGCAGGAGGUCACCACUCCCGAAGACAUCCCCAGGAAAACUGUUCUUUCAGACGGGAACACCUCGUGCCUGAUUCCUCUUACAAUAAAGGAGUUCCACAAGAUGCUCCUAACUCUUGGGGAGAUCCCCAAGGUGACACUUUAGCCGUGACCAGUUUUGUGGGCCCUGAACCCCGGGAUGUACUUGUCUGUCCUGCUCGUUGUUCCCAGAGGCUGAGGAGGCCCCGGCCAGCAGGAGGGGCUGGGGAGCCCAGAGGAAGCAUAGAUGGUCCCAAAGAAGAGCAAGGAGGCAGCCGUGGCAUCACCAUAGCAACGGAUGGUGGUGGUGCUGCUGGGAAAGCAGGUGAGGAGGUGGCGAAAGUGCAGAGGCUCAGGGAUGGGAAUAAACUGCCUGCUCCCCCCCCCAUUUUAAAUUUUGCACCGAGUCAUGAGCUUCAAAUGGAUUCUGUAUGUUUUAAGUAACAUGGCUUAAUGUGUAGUUCAUUGGAAUCAUUGAUUUUGUACAGAUCCAAGUUGCUUCAAUUUUUUUUUUAAUUAAAGCAAUUACAGAAUCUUCCAAAUGGUUCAUAAUCACUGAGAAGUACCCCCAACCCUUUUUAAAGAAAAUGAAAAAGCCAGUGAUGCACUGCAAUUUUUUCCAAAUCAAAAUCAACCUGUCUUAGCAUCUUCCCCUUCCCCACUUCACAUAUCUACUGAAAGGAACUGUGGUGGGUUUUUUUGGGGGGGGAAUAGGUUGCAAUUUAAAACAGAACAACUUUGUUAUAAAGUAGCUGCCACUUCAGAAAAAGUCUCGCUCCUUGUUCUUUUCAGUCUAACUGUAGAUAUAAGAAGAAUUACAAAAGAGGGUUUGUCCCAAAAUUUUCACUCUGGCAACAACAGUUGUUUGAUCGUGCUGGUGGUGGGGAUUCAAGGAUAGCAGAGACGUGUCACUGUCACCCUCAUCACAGUUUCCAGAAUUCUUUGAGAAAAGUAGCCUGGAUCAAUGCUUUGUCUUUCGCCCCCAAUGAGGGCAGAGUUUUCCCCUCUUCUGUAAUUCUUGGUGGGGGGAAAAGUAAGNNNNNNNNNNNNNNNNNNNNNNNNNNNNNNNNNNNNNNNNNNNNNNNNNNNNNNNCACACACACACACACACACACACCCUGCUGCCUUGUCUUUGGGGAAGUAGAACAGGAAGUGCCUCAGCCAUAGUUUCCCUAUUGAGAAUGCAAUAACCAGAAUUUCUGCCAGUGUUUACAAACCAAGCAACUUGUCCCUCCUGGCUCUGAACAGGUUAAACAUCAGCUACUCCAUCCCCUCCCCUGAAAGUCCUUGGCUUAUCAGGCUAAGGGAAAAAAUUCCUAAGGGGGGACAGAGAGGAAACAAGAGCCAGAGUAGCAAGAAUUGCUGGAAAAGCAGGAGCAGGCUUUGCAGGGAGUCCGUCCCUCUUUACCUUG
Molecule: long non-coding RNA, 1555 nt
Organism: Pogona vitticeps (central bearded dragon)
Lineage: Eukaryota; Metazoa; Chordata; Lepidosauria; Squamata; Agamidae
Source: Ensembl